Xenia sp. Carnegie-2017 is the source of this 393-nucleotide long non-coding RNA. RefSeq lists it as uncharacterized. The record is from RefSeq and is a predicted model, not a curated record. Lineage: Eukaryota; Metazoa; Cnidaria; Anthozoa; Malacalcyonacea; Xeniidae. The transcript has 2 exons.
UACAGACAUUUGCCACUGCCUUGUUGUUGUUACAACAAAAUACGGAAGACAUUUCCGAACAAUAAGUGUCUUCCUUACAAAGGAUUCGAAGAGGAUGAGGACAUAUAGCAAUGUAAAAAGGUGAUGGAAAAAGCUAUUAUAGGUGCAUCGGGCGUGAUCUGUUGGUCCUGUAAGAAUAUUGAGGAAUAGUUGUUUUACGAAGUGCACGUAUGUGUGAAGAGCAAUUGUUUGCUUUACGUAUGCAUCAUUCUCAGAUUGGUCUGGAAUUUCAGUUGUGCCUUUUUCUUCUUGAAAAUAGCACGAAUCUUCUUUCUUCAUGCAUGAUACAGACACUUCAUUUUGUAUUUCCUUUAAAACCUUAGUAUAAAUGUAUAUUAUAUAUUGAAAGUUUGC